GAUGAACGCUGGCGGCGUGCCUAAUACAUGCAAGUCGAGCGGUAACAUGGACUUCGGUCUGAUGACGAGCGGCGGACGGCAGAGUAACGCGUAGGAACAUACCCCAAACUGAGGGAUAACUGCCCGAAAGGGUGGCUAAUACCGCAUGUGAUCUUCGGAUUAAAGCUUCGGCGGUUUGGGAGUGGCCUGCGUUGGAUUAGCUUGUUGGUGAGGUAAUGGCUCACCUAGGCGACGAUCCCUAGCUGGUCUGAGAGGAUGACCAGCCACACUGGAACUGAGACACGGUCCAGACUCCUACGGGAGGCAGCAGUGGGGAAUAUUGCACAAUGGGCGCAAGCCUGAUGCAGCCAUGCCGCGUGUAUGAAGAAGGCCUUCGGGUUGUAAAGUACUUUCAGCGGGGAGGAAGGUGUUGUGGUUAAUAACCGCAGCAAUUGACGUUACCCGCAGAAGAAGCACCGGCUAACUCCGUGCCAGCAGCCGCGGUAA
This 486-nucleotide ribosomal RNA is filed under the name uncultured bacterium. RNAcentral describes it as "partial 16S ribosomal RNA". It matches the Rfam family "Bacterial small subunit ribosomal RNA", at positions 28 to 523 of the family's 1533-position model. The record is from RNAcentral.